Molecule: long non-coding RNA, 1907 nt
Organism: Zingiber officinale
Lineage: Eukaryota; Viridiplantae; Streptophyta; Magnoliopsida; Zingiberales; Zingiberaceae
Exons: 2
Source: RefSeq, a predicted model, not a curated record
AGCUAACUUUCGUGUACCCUGGUUUCCAUGCUCAUUCCAUCGCAACUUAACUCCUCUUUUCCCUUCCCGUCGGUUUCGUUGUCCCCUUCCGAUUCCGCCACUGCGUGCUCCGCCUCUCCUGCUUCGAUGGCUCUGCAAUCAUCGGCUUCUUAGUUUCCAAGAGCCUCAACGAUCUUCUCGCUACAAUUACUACCUCCGAAGACUGCUUGGCCUUUCCAAUCACUGGUCGCCCCACAACCGCCGGCUGUUUUUAUGGAGUUUGUGGGUGUCUGUUGACCUUAAAAGCUGGGGAAUUUGAAAUUCGGUGAGUUGGAUCUCAGCGGCUAGGAAAGGCCGGUUUUUGAUAAAGAUGAUUAGGAGGCAGGACAUCGGCAAGGGUUUUCCACUGUUCUUUCUGCUUCUGGCCUUCGGGUCUUUCAUUGCUACCUACAAUCUCGUCGCGAUGGUUAUCCACUACCGGCGGCGAGAGUCGGUGAACCAGCUCCGUGUUGAUAAUUUUGCCAGUGGGAUGCUUAAGAUUGGGAGAUUGCGCGUUCAGAGGCAACUGUUUCACGUUGCGGCCACUGCAAUUGAUGCAGCGUAUAGCAGGUGGCAGUGCCGGAUAAUGCACUACUGGUACAAGGAGAUGAAACAUGGCGAGGGGUCGGAGAUGGGAGGGUUCACCAGGGUCCUCCACUCUGGAAAGCUGAUAGCCUGAUGGAUGAGAUCCUCAAUGAUUAAAUAAAUUUACAAUCACAAAUGAAAGUCACUAAUUAUAAGUAAAUAUUAAACAUAUAACAAUAAUUAACAAAAUACUCUAUAUUUUGCAUUGCUAUUAAAAAAACACAAUAAAAUAUAUAAUUCAAUAGGUUAUAGUCAUUGAUCCAAAUUCCAAGAAAAAACAUAGCUAAUAGCAAGAUAAUUACUAAAAGUUAAAGACUAUUAUGUAUGUGAUACUUUGCUAAGAAGCCCAAGUUACUUGUGGUGUUUUAUGCAAAAUCUAUCCCACGUUAACUUAAUCAUAUGCAAUAUCUAGAGGACUAACAGUUUUCUCAAAUUUUUUUCCUAGUCAUCUCUUCAAUGCUAAGUGCUGCAGACAAAUAGUUGCUAGCUCCUUACCAAAAUUUUCUCAUUUGGCUGAUUGCGAAUAGGCCCUUAAAGUAAGUAUUGUUGUUUGACAAUUGAUCAAGUUAUUCCACUGAAAAUUUUGUACAUGGCAGUUUCUUUCACCAUAAAAAUGCAUUUAACAGUAUCAGACAAGUGCAUGUAACUUCUUCACUAUUGAACUAUUUAUCAAUGCUCCCUUGUUGCUUCAAUCACUCUGAGUGUGUCUUUGGUUCAUGACUUUUGCAAAUAUUUACCAACGGAGGAUAUUAUUCUCUACUGCUUCAUUGAUGUGGUUCCAGGGGUACAUUGCCCUAAACAGACCUUUGGCCUUUGUGUAAUGGCUGGAGAAGCAACUAUUGAGGAGUAAACUAUUUUCCUUUGAGAACAUUGUGCCAUUUGACUCUAUCUGUGUUUCUUUAUGAGCAAAACAGAGCUAUCUGUGUUGCAUCUAAAAAACUGCAGGUAUGUAUUGAUAGCAGAACCAGAUCAUAUUUUUGUCAAACCGUUGCCAAACUUGGCUCGCGAAGAUUAUCUUGCAGGAUUUCCAAUCUUCUAUAUCAAACCAACUGAACAUGUAGACAUUAUGAGGAAGUUUUUUCGAGAAGAAAAAGGUCCUAUAACUAAUAUUGACCCUAUUGGCAGCUCCCCUGUGAUAAUUAAAAAGGUAAAUCAUGACUCCUUUUGAUCAUUAGUUUUUGUAACAUGUGCUUGCAAUUCACUAGGCCACAUAUACUUCUUUUGAAUGUAAUCCCUGUGUCAUUGGUUCUAUAUCAAACUAUUUCUUCCACAAUUUUCUUGGAACUAUCAAACAAGUUUUGCAA